RNAcentral lists this ribosomal RNA (169 nucleotides) under Myxarium grilletii. RNAcentral describes it as "partial large subunit ribosomal RNA". It matches the Rfam family "Eukaryotic large subunit ribosomal RNA", at positions 99 to 261 of the family's 3401-position model. The record is from RNAcentral. Lineage: Eukaryota; Fungi; Basidiomycota; Agaricomycetes; Auriculariales; Hyaloriaceae.
AGGGAAAAGCUCAAAUCUAAAAUCUGGCGGUCUACGGCCGUCCGAGUUGUAGUUUAGAGAGGUGUUUUCUGCGUCGGACCACACACAAGUCCUUUGGGAUAAGGCUUCAUAGAGGGUGAGAAUCCCGUACAUGGUGUGGACUACCGGGGCUAUACGAUGCACCCUCAAA